AUGGCUUUUAAGGUGGAAAAACACCUGUGGAGCUGGAGGUGGCAAUUCACCCAAUUUGAAUCACUCUAACAAGCCGCAAUGUAAAAUCCCUCGAAAAGGUGUGUGCUGACUUGGUCAGAGGAGCACAGGAAAAGAAUCUCAAAGUGAAAGGACCAGUUGGAAUGCCUAGCAAGACUUUGAGAAUCACUACAAGAAAAACUCCUUGUGGUGAAGGUUCUACGACAUGGGAUGGUUUCCAGAUGGGAAUCCACAAGCGACUCAUUGACUUGCACAGUCCUUCUGAGAUUGUUAGGCAGAUGACUUCCAUCAGUAAUGAGCCAGGAGUUGAGGUGGAAGUCACCAUUGCAGUUGCUUAA
Molecule: long non-coding RNA, 356 nt
Filed under: Homo sapiens (human)
Lineage: Eukaryota; Metazoa; Chordata; Mammalia; Primates; Hominidae
Description: non-protein coding lnc-SPP2-6:1
Source: RNAcentral